Molecule: ribosomal RNA, 253 nt
Filed under: uncultured bacterium
Lineage: Bacteria
Description: partial 16S ribosomal RNA
Rfam family: Bacterial small subunit ribosomal RNA
Source: RNAcentral
AACGUAGGGCCCGAGCGUUGUCCGGAAUCACUGGGUGUAAAGGGUGCGUAGGCGGGCGUGCGCGUCUGGGGUGAAAGGCUCCGGCUCAACCGGAGACAUGCCCUGGGUACGGCACGUCUUGGGUGCGGGAGAGGGCGAUGGAAUUCCUGGUGUAGCGGUGAAAGGCGUAGAGAUCAGGAGGAACACCGGUGGCGAAGGCGGUCGCCUGGCCCGCAACCGACGCUGAGGCACGAAAGAUAGGGGAGCAAACAGG